UACGUAGGGGGCUAGCGUUGUCCGGAAUCAUUGGGCGUAAAGCGCGCGUAGGCGGCUCGGUAAGUCCGCUGUGAAAGUCCAGGGCUCAACCCUGGAAAGCCGGUGGAUACUGUCGGGCUCGAGUCCGGAAGAGGCGAGUGGAAUUCCUGGUGUAGCGGUGGAAUGCGCAGAUAUCAGGAGGAACACCGAUUGCGAAGGCAGCUCGCUGGGACGUUACUGACGCUGAGACGCGAAAGCGUGGGGAGCAAACAGG
Molecule: ribosomal RNA, 253 nt
Filed under: uncultured bacterium
Lineage: Bacteria
Description: partial 16S ribosomal RNA
Rfam family: Bacterial small subunit ribosomal RNA
Source: RNAcentral